RNAcentral lists this transfer RNA (83 nucleotides) under Anaerolineae bacterium. Its description in RNAcentral is "tRNA-Leu". It matches the Rfam family "tRNA". Rfam says of the family: Transfer RNA (tRNA) molecules are approximately 80 nucleotides in length. The record is from RNAcentral. RNAcentral also lists the same sequence under 1 other name. Lineage: Bacteria; Bacillati; Chloroflexota; Anaerolineae.
GGGGCGGUGGCGGAAUGGCAGACGCUGCGGACUUAAAAUCCGCUGGAGGAAACUCCAUGAGGGUUCGAAUCCCUCCCGCCCUA